This 327-nucleotide ribosomal RNA is filed under the name uncultured eukaryote. Its description in RNAcentral is "partial 18S ribosomal RNA". It matches the Rfam family "Eukaryotic small subunit ribosomal RNA", at positions 1470 to 1796 of the family's 1831-position model. The record is from RNAcentral.
UCCUUAGAUGUUCUGGGCCGCACGCGCGCUACACUGACGAAUGCAACGAGCUUAUAACCUUGGCCGAAAGGUCUGGGUAAUCUCCAAAUUUCGUCGUGAUGGGGAUAGAUUAUUGCAAUUAUUAAUCUUCAACGAGGAAUGCCUAGUAAGCGCAAGUCAUCAGCUUGCGUUGAUUACGUCCCUGCCCUUUGUACACACCGCCCGCCGCUCCUACCGAUUGAAUGGUCCGGUGAAGCGUUCGGACCGUGGCCUUUGGACGGUUCGCCGUCUGUUGGCUGCGGGAAGUUCGUUAAACCUUAUCAUUUAGAGGAAGGAGAANUCGUANCA